Molecule: ribosomal RNA, 480 nt
Filed under: uncultured bacterium
Lineage: Bacteria
Description: partial 16S ribosomal RNA
Rfam family: Bacterial small subunit ribosomal RNA
Source: RNAcentral
ACUCAAAGGAAUAGACGGGGACCCGCACAAGCAGCGGAGCGUGUGGUUUAAUUCGAUGCGACGCGAAUAACCUUACCAAGGCUUGACAUCUAUUCGCAACUCCCCGAAAGGGGGGCCUCCGCAAGGACGGAUAGACAGAUGCUGCAUGGCUGUCGUCAGCUCGUGUCGUGAGAUGUUGGGUUAAGUCCCGCAACGAGCGCAACCCUUGUCCUUAGUUGCAUAUCUAAGGAGACCGCCGGAAACAAACCGGAGGAAGGUGGGGAUGAGGUCAAGUCCGCAUGGCUCUUACGUCUUGGGCUACACACACGCUACAAUGGCCGUCACAGUGAGAAGCCACCUCGCAAGGGGGAGCAGACCUACAAAGACGGCCCCAGUUCAGAUUGCACUCUGCAACCCGAGUGCAUGAAGUCGGAGUUGCUAGUAACCGCGUGUCAGCAUAGCGCGGUGAAUAUGUUCCCGGGUCUUGUACACACCGCCCGU